This is a long non-coding RNA of Vombatus ursinus (common wombat), 443 nucleotides long. RefSeq lists it as uncharacterized. The record is from RefSeq and is a predicted model, not a curated record. NCBI's taxonomy places the organism in Eukaryota, Metazoa, Chordata, Mammalia, Diprotodontia, Vombatidae. The transcript is spliced from 3 exons.
UCCAAAAUGUGAUGCUUGGCCCAUUUAUUUACUGAUGUUGUCACCUGAAGGGAAAACUUCCAAGGCUGAGGACGUGUUCAGGUGGCUGGCUGGCAGCUGAUUUGUGUCUCUGUUCUUUCUGUCUGAUGUGUAGUACAGUUUGAAUCUUUCCAUGAAUAUCAUUGGGAAAUUAAGUGUCUGGAGCUGAUCAGCUUGAGCUUAUGAAGAGAUGAACCUUUGUCUAGGGAUUUGAUUGCAUCUUCCUGCAGAGGUGAAGUCGUAAUGGCAGAGUGGUGGAAAAGCUUCUGGACAGGCAGAGGGAUUCCAAGGCCAAGCCUACUACUCACAAGAAAGAUUUCUGGAUAAUGCCAAGUUCCUGGACCAAGGAGCAGCAAGAGAUCUCAUUCCAACAAUGCAAUCAGAUUGCAAAAUGCUGCAUCCUGAACUGCUUUGAGAAAAGUGGC